This 435-nucleotide long non-coding RNA is filed under the name Physcomitrium patens. RNAcentral's name for it is "long non-coding RNA (PPAT_LNC000208)". The record is from RNAcentral. Lineage: Eukaryota; Viridiplantae; Streptophyta; Bryopsida; Funariales; Funariaceae.
AGCUUGGUCUUUCUUGACAGAGAGUGUAUUAUCCCUUUUCUUGGAAGUACUAUAGCAUUCUAGAGGUUGCAGAUUAUCCUCUCCUAGACUAAUAUUAUUCUUUUCUUAAUAUUCUUUUGGUUUUUUUUCUUUAUAUCAUAGAUCAAGUUUUUUUCUUUUGAAGGCAUGUGUUUCUAUGAUUUUUUAUGGCAGAAGGUGGAAAAGUCAAUAUGACAAUCUCUAAAGAGAUUAAGUUAGAUUCUAUUAUUAAUGCUCUUAAAGCAUUAAGGAUUAGAAUAAAGACUUUGUCAAAGUAGAAUGAAGAAUAAUAUAUGACCAUACAUAAUGGUCAAGGAGUCGGAGUGCCUCAACUACCACAUCAAAUUGCAACAAAGGUUUCAAAUUCUCAAAUGAUUAUGUCUACUUCAAACAUAGGAGGUGCAUCCACUCAAGGCA